Amblyraja radiata (thorny skate) is the source of this 1740-nucleotide long non-coding RNA. RefSeq lists it as uncharacterized. The record is from RefSeq and is a predicted model, not a curated record. The transcript has 2 exons. Lineage: Eukaryota; Metazoa; Chordata; Chondrichthyes; Rajiformes; Rajidae.
UGUGCUUCUCGUCAAUGGAGCAGAAUGCUUGCAGAAGCUGAAUGGGGACUCUGCAGUUGUAGUUGCUGGUUUACACAAAAGGCAACAACUCAAAGGGUCUGAAGAAGGGGCCCAAUCAAAAAACUCACCUAUGCCUGUCCUCUAGAGAUGCUGCUGCCUGACCCGCUGAGUUACUCCAGCAUUUUGUGUCCUGUUGGGACUUGGUAAUUGUCAGGAAGGGGAGGAUAGAUCGAACGUGGUGGAAGACAGAGUUAUUUAAGGAGGGAAUUCCAGAGUUUGGGUCAAGACGAUGGUGGGACAAAGGAAAUGGGGGUCAGUUAAGUGAUGUGAACGAGAUUGUUGUGUUUGUCUACGAGAGGAAUGCACGCGAAGGAGUUAGUCCAAUGGGACUGAUGACUAGUGGAAGUGAAUGGAUCCAUUAAACCUGGUCAAUGGGAAUGAAUGGAAAGUGUUUCUUCCGUUGGGAUUGUCACCCAGUGGGGUUGAAUUGGAAUGGACUGGGUUCAAAAGGACUGAAUGGGAAGGGAUGGGUGCGUGGAUUGCAAGAAUGAAUGGGGGUUUUGAUAUAAUGAGCUUGUAUGAUAUGGGAGUCAAUGUUCAUAAGUUCAUUAGUCUUGGGAGCAGAGUUGGACCAGCCUAUCGUCUACGCUGCCAUUCAAUCAUGCCUAGUCUAUCUUUCCCAUAUAACCUAAUUCCACUGCCUUCUCCGCACAAUCCUUAUUAAUCAAGAAUCUGACAAUCUCUGCCUUAGCUAUACCCAAAGAUGGCCUUCACAACUGUCUGUGGGAAUGAAUUCCACAGAUUCGCCACCCUCUGGCUAACGAAGGGUAUGGAGAGGAUGGGUUUGGAGGAAGGGUUUGGAGGAAGGGUUUGUAGGGUAUAGAUUGAAGGGACGGUUUGAAGGGACGGUUUGGAGGAUGGGUUUGGAGGAUGGGUUUGGAGCCAGAUUCAGCAAGGCGGCGGCAGGCUGAUGAGCACUAUGUGUAACAGUGGGAGCUGGAUAGUUUCCAGAGCUUUGUGCUGUAAAGCAGUUUGAUGUGCUACAGGAAAAUGAUUUCAGUAAACACAACAGGCUGAUUUCCUUGCCUUGAUUAAAGUCCUUCGGAGUAAAUUGCAUAUAAUUUCUGCAUGUUGAAUGUAUCUGUGAAAUGGCUCUAUUGACAGAUCGAGGGUCGAUAGAAGGAAUGAGCUGUCAGGAGCGAGAUACCGAUGUCACCCGCAAUGAGCUGUGCAUUUUUAACUGUUUUGCUCUGAAACAGAUGCCUCGCAGCCUCAGGCUGCUGCUAAGACUUCAUCAAGAGCCCUUUCACUAUCAUCAAGGCCGCUGCAUGUACCAUCAAGGAUCUCCACCAUCUGGGCCAUGGCCUCUUCUCGCUGCUACCGUCGGGCAGGAGGUACAAAAGCCCCACACCACCAGGUUCACGAACAGUUACUCUCCUACAACCACCAGGUUCUUGAACUGACCCACACAACCCAAAUCCUACCUCGGAAACGGAACAGACCGACCCCCUCUUGCACUGCUGGGGACUUGUUAUCUAAUUGAGUUUUGCACCAAAUGUCUUGAUUUUUGUCCCUUUUUCUUUUCACUGUCUUGUACAAUUUAUGUGUAAUUUGUGUAUAAUUUAUGUUCCAGUGUAUUGUCUGAGUCCAUGUGCCUGUGAUGCUGCUGCAAGCAAUAUAUCCAUUGUACCUGAACCUCACCGUGCUUGUACAUCUGACAAUAAACUCAACAAUCUCAGG